Daphnia magna is the source of this 3846-nucleotide long non-coding RNA. RefSeq lists it as uncharacterized. The transcript is spliced from 2 exons. The record is from RefSeq and is a predicted model, not a curated record. NCBI's taxonomy places the organism in Eukaryota, Metazoa, Arthropoda, Branchiopoda, Diplostraca, Daphniidae.
UUCGGCAGUCGACCGCUUUUCAAACGACGACCGUCGCUUUUCUAUUCGUUCAUCUAUUAUGUUGUUUCCACAGCGCUCCCGAUCUCCUUCUACCACCUCCCUUUCCUAUUCUUCCUUUCUUUAUUUUCACGAGCUAUAUAGUCUCCGCUUCCUCCCUCCCCCCGCUAACACACACGCAACCAAAAGAUGGCGUAGUUUCGGCGCGCGCUGUUUCAGUCCGUGCCGGGCUGUCAGCGGGAUCAGCCGCUCCGCCAAACAGCUGGCGCUCGUUGAAUAUAUUUUGCCUGUUUAAUUGUCACUUUAUUUUAGUAGGAUAAUUAGAGAGUGAAAUUUUAAUGAAGGGCUAAUGUGGUGUUUUUCUUCCGACCCGAGUGAGUGGUAAAUACGUGUCGCUAAAGUGUUGUUUUAUGUGUAAAUCUUUGUGCGGCAUGUUACGAGGCGCGAUCACGUGGUUAAACGAAACCAAGUGGCCCUUUGAAAAAUAUACGAAGACGGAAUCUUUUUAUAACAUCGUCCCUGAAGGGGAUAUUACACAAGACUUCAUCAAGAAAAAGAAUCCCGGGCUGCUUCUUUUGGUUCGUGGAUGACAUAAAUGACAACCCAGUCAAUUCCUCACAAUAUAUCCAGUCUGCAAAACGCCGUGAUUUUCCACAUCAAUAAUUCGACCUUUCGUCUGACAACAGUUGUCUUUUGCAAAACAUGAGACAGAAAACAAAACAAACAACGAGAUUGCUAAACCAUCAUAGAAUUCAAGUCAAAACAUUAGACGCUCCGUUGAUCAAUUUGAAAAAAAGAGCUAAUUCAAUUAAACUAUACAGCUCCACACCACCCCCUUGUAGGCCCAUUUAUAGCUAAUCAAUUAGCUCAUUUUUUGUGUUGUUGUUGCACCAAACAAUCUAUAAUGCGGUUUAAGCCAAUCCAAGUCGCAUUAAUCACCGUUGCCAUAUUUCUCAGUUAGUUCUCGUCUAUGUCGUAAUCCCUUUUUUUUUAAAGUGUUUAAAAUAAUAAUAAUAAAAAAAAAAACAGCUUCGUCAGCCAUGGAAUCGGGAGGAGGAUGUACGAUGUGUCAAAGUGAUGAAUAUUUCAUUGAUGCCCUUGUCCCCCCCCCUUCCCGCCCUCAACGUUUUCGAUCAAAAUGAUUGCACAACGCGUGCUGGCCAGCAAGCCAAACGGCCCCCUUUUGGUCAACAACAAACUGUUUCUCUCUCUUCAUUCCUCAUCAGAAUCCCCAUCACAUAUCCACACUCAACGCAAAUGGCAAGAGCGCAGGCCGACAUAAAAAACUGUCCAAAAAUAAAAAUAAUAAAAUGACGUGCAAGUUUUUUUAUUAUUAUUAUUCGUUUUAUUUUUAAUAUAUAAAUAUUUUUUAAUCAAACACGUGGUGGUGUGCCUUCCUUCGCUUGGCCGUUGGAUGAUAUCAUCUGUGUGGUAUUUCGUCGUCAUUAAAUAUCGAUCAACGGUCCACACAGGCACAAGUCUAUCUGCGUGUCAGGCAUAAAGAGAUGAGAGAGAGGGUCCCUUCGUUUUAUAUAUAAAGAAGUGGGUGAUAUAUUGAAUGAGGAAAGAUAAAAACGCGGAUAUAUAGAAGGGCCAAAACCCAGGCGCAAGCAGACGGCAUUUUUUAAUAACAGCUCCACAGAUUCAUUAUUCAUAUCGUUUUCAAAUCGUCCAGAGAGGGGAAUGCCUUUACCAACACCCGGGCCCGCAUUUUUCGUGAGGCAACGUCGCUAAAGUGGAAUGCCAACACACACAAAUAAAAACGAAGAAGUUUGUCGUGAUGUUGUACAAAACGAUGUGUCCAGUUCAAAAAUUGAAGCGAAAAAAAAAAAAGAAUUGAUAAUCAAAAACAAGUGAUUGACGCGUGCAUAAAUAGACGUGACAUGGGCCCGUUUGUGGACGAACCAAUCAGGCGACGGGCCGAACAAUAGACCAAUUGUUUUCCAGCUUUUUGUUUCAGUGCGUCUAUCGUCUGCGUGUCGGUUGUUGUGACGGUGGGCUAACAGUUAAAGGGGACGGACAAGCUCCUCCCUCUGCGCUCCUCCUCCUCCAGUGUUUUUGCGUGGACGGUGAAAGAUCACGUCGAACCCAAUUUCCCCCCUCCCUACAACGCACACGACCGUGAGAUGAAAUUUUUUUUUGAACGCAAGACUUCCGGCCCGGACGCAUGCGUCCAACAUUCAGAGUGAAAAGUUGCGUGCAUUUUUCACGAUUUUGCGCUGCUUCGUGCAUGAAUUAAAGGGGGAUAUAGAGUUUGUGUAGGAGUCUGUAUCAUCUAGGGCCGGUCGGGUAUAAGGACAGGCAGCCUGGGCUCACGUCUCGUAUUGAUCGGGUCCUUAUUCAAGGAGCUAAAAAAAGCCUUUCCACAAUUUUUGUUUCCUUUUUUGUUUUCACGCUGAGCUGGCAGCUGUUCGACCCAAUCAAAUGACAAUUUAAUAUAAGAAUUCCUCUAACGUCCAAGAAUUUUAAAAUGGCGGAUUCCCCCACCCAUAAAAAGACAUUGGACAGUUUUCAACACUUUCCUUCGAGUUCGUCCACAAGUUUAACAGUCGGAAAAUCAGCAAAACUCUGACGCAAAUCAAAUCUCAGCUGUUUACGAAAAGCUUUUUGGCCGAUCGAAAUCUCGUACAAAUAUUUAAAAAAAAAGAGGGGGGGAUUCUAUACCACACGCACAAAAACGAGAGAAAAGAAGAGACCCAAAAAAAAAAAAAUAAAAAGUGGUUGGCGUGUUUACUUGGUGAGUGGUAAGUGGAGAGAGGGCGGAGGGGGAGCUCUCGUAAUAUAUGGGUUGUAAGAUAUCAAACCUCUUCCUAUCAGAGUUCCUCCCUUUUUUUUUUUCAUUUUCAAGUAUAGUACUAUACACUUUGUUCUCUUCUUAUUCGGAAAAAAUCGAGGCGGGUCUAUUCAUCUGACCGUAAGGAGAAGGGCGUAAGAGCGAAAGAGAAACGAGGAUUUUAUAUAAAUGUAAUAGCGGGAGCCACGUUCUUCUUUUUUUUAGAUCUUUACAUCAUAUUUUAUAGUGCGUAUAGUACAUACAUAAGGAGAGCAUGGGGUGAUGGUAAUAGAUUUCUCGAUUUUGUCGAAAUGAGUUCGAAACUCGAGUACCUAUUCAUCAGGGCCCAGGGUUAUACGUUGUCGCUCCUGGACGCGCGGUUAGGGUUGUGAAGCUGUGCCCCCCCCCCCUUAUCCUUCAAAAAAAAAUUAAAAUAAAUGAGGGAAAUGUGUAUAGGGUCCUAAAAUUUGACUAUAGGGGCUUGCCACAUGUGCAGUCGAGGAGUUGGGAUCACAGUCAACAACAUUUCAAUGUUGAUUUUAUACGAAGAGAUAUCGACGAUGUUGAAAGUUGAAAUUCAAUUUUCAAAAAAAAUGUGCGAUUCAAAUAAACAAAUAAGAGUGAAAAUUGAUGGAGGAUGGGGUAAAAAAAAAAUAAAGGGGGUGGCGGUUAUUUCGAAAUGUGUCACAUUUUUUGUCAAGUCAUUUUUGUCAACAGUUAUGCAACAGAUCCAGGCACAGUUUUCCAUCCCCUGAAAAUUCAAAGAUGCUCAUCGCUAAUAAAAUGUAGAGCUCAAAAAAAAAAAAAUGGUCCACUAUUUUGCCUCUUCAUCAAAUUUCAUUUGACGAAAAAUGAAAAUGUUUUCUUUUAUACAUCGAAAGAAAACAAAAUAAAAAAUUGGUGGAGAGCGUGGGAAGAAAAUCUGGUCUACUUGAAACACCUGAUGACACGACUAAAAAAAAAAACAACAAGAACCGACACCUCCAGCAAGUCUGUGUUAUAACCAAAAAGCGAACUGUAUACAACAGAAGCUCAAAAUCAUUGGAAAAGUGUAACAAACUCCUCCAUCGAAAUAA